UGCAGUCGAACGGAGAUACCAGAGGAAGCUUGCUCCACCGGUAUCUUAGUGGCGGACGGGUGAGUAACACGUGAGCAACCUGCCUUUCAGAGAGGGAUAACGUUUGGAAACGAACGCUAAUACCACAUAACAUCACGAUACGGCAUCGUAUUGUGAUCAAAGGAGCAAUCCGCUGAGAGAUGGGCUCGCGUCCGAUUAGAUAGUUGGUGAGGUAACGGCUCACCAAGUCGACGAUCGGUAGCCGGACUGAGAGGUUGAACGGCCACAUUGGGACUGAGACACGGCCCAGACUCCUACGGGAGGCAGCAGUGGGGAAUAUUGCACAAUGGGGGAAACCCUGAUGCAGCGACGCCGCGUGAGGGAAGAAGGUUUUCGGAUUGUAAACCUCUGUCUUUGGUGACGAUAAUGACGGUAGCCAAAGAGGAAGCUACGGCUAACUACGUGCCAGCAGCCGCGGUAAUACGUAGGUGGCAAGCGUUGUCCGGAAUUACUGGGUGUAAAGGGAGCGUAGGCGGGAAGACAAGUUGAAUGUUUAAACUAUCGGCUUAACCGGUAGUCGCGUUCAAAACUGUUUUUCUGGAGUGAAGUAGAGGCAGGCGGAAUUCCUAGUGUAGCGGUGAAAUGCGUAGAUAUUAGGAGGAACACCAGUGGCGAAGGCGGCCUGCUGGGCUUUAACUGACGCUGAGGCUCGAAAGCGUGGGUAGCAAACAGGAUUAGAUACCCUGGUAGUCCCACGCUGUAAACGAUGAUUACUAGGUGUGGGGGGACUGACCCCUUCCGUGUCCGCAGUUAACACAAUAAGUAAUCCACCUGGG
RNAcentral lists this ribosomal RNA (815 nucleotides) under uncultured bacterium. RNAcentral describes it as "bacterial SSU rRNA". It matches the Rfam family "Bacterial small subunit ribosomal RNA", at positions 56 to 877 of the family's 1533-position model. The record is from RNAcentral.